Molecule: long non-coding RNA, 627 nt
Organism: Planococcus citri (citrus mealybug)
Lineage: Eukaryota; Metazoa; Arthropoda; Insecta; Hemiptera; Pseudococcidae
Exons: 3
Source: RefSeq, a predicted model, not a curated record
GUUGAUACCAGAGGAAAUAAUUCACACUACGUUCGGGUGCCCAAAUAUGUGCGGUCGUCUGUAUAUGCAUGCUACCAGUUUAACGAAGCACAUGAAGUACGAGUGUGGGAAACCGAAACAGUUUAAAUGUUCCGAAUGUGGAAGGGAGUUCCAUCAGAAGGGUCACUUGAAAAGACAUAUUCGCGCGAAGCAUAAACAUAUAUCCGUUUGAGUUUUUUUUUUUCACAGAACGAUUAAAAAAUUUAUUCACGUGUCCAAAUAAUUGCGGUCGUCAGUAUAAAUAUAAACAAGGACUGCAUGCUCAUCUGAGAGCAAUUAGUUUUGACUUCGUUCGAGUGCCCAAAUAUGUGCGGUCGUCAGUAUAAACGUGCUACCAGCCUAGCGAAUCAUUUGAAGUACGAGUGUAGACGAGAGAAACAGUUUAAAUGUGAUGAAUGUGAUAUGGAUUUUUUUCAGAAGGGUAAUUUUAGAAGACAUAUUAUCAUGAAGCAUAAAAAGUUAUCCCUUUGAGUUUUUUUUUUUUUUCAUAGGUCAUUAAACAAAUUAUUCCUUAUCCCUACUUAUGUUUUUACUUUUUUGUUUAUUCGAUUUUGUAUUUUUGAGAAGAAAUAUAUUUUUUUAAAUUGA